GAUUAUGGCUCAGAACGAACGCUGGCGGCGCGUUUAAGCAUGCAAGUCGAGCGGCAAGGGCCUUCGGGCCCCUAGAGCGGCGGACGGGUGAGUAACACGUGGACAAUCUGCCCCCCGGCCCGGGAUAGCCCAGGGAAACCUGGAUUAAUACCGGAUGAGACGGGACCCGCGAUGGCGGGACCCGGGAAAGGCGCUGCGGCGCCGCCGGGGGAUGAGUCUGCGUCCCAUUAGCUAGACGGCGGGGUAACGGCCCACCGUGGCGACGAUGGGUAGCCGGCCUGAGAGGGUGGACGGCCACAUUGGAACUGAGACACGGUCCAGACUCCUACGGGAGGCAGCAGCUAAGAAUCCUUCCGCAAGUGGGACGAAAGCCUGACGGAGCGACGCCCGCGUGAACGAGGAAGGCCGUGAGGUUAGUAAAGUUCGUUUUCGGGAGGGGGAACAACCGUGGCAGGGAAUGGCCGCGGGAUGACGUGAAUCCCGGAAUAAGCCCCGGCUAACUACGUGCCAGCCGCAGC
RNAcentral lists this ribosomal RNA (518 nucleotides) under uncultured bacterium. Its description in RNAcentral is "bacterial SSU rRNA". It matches the Rfam family "Bacterial small subunit ribosomal RNA", at positions 15 to 518 of the family's 1533-position model. The record is from RNAcentral.